CAGUAGCCGCGGUAACACGAAGGGGGCUAGCGUUGUUCGGAUUUACUGGGCGUAAAGCGCACGUAGGCGGACUUUUAAGUCAGGGGUGAAAUCCCGGGGCUCAACCCCGGAACUGCCUUUGAUACUGGGGGUCUUGAGUUCGAGAGAGGUGAGUGGAAUUGCGAGUGUAGAGGUGAAAUUCGUAGAUAUUCGCAAGAACACCGGUGGCGAAGGCGGCUCACUGGUCCGGAACUGACGCUGAGGCACGACAGCGUGGGGAGCAAACAGGAUUAGAUACCCGUGUAGUCCCUGUCUCUUAUAC
RNAcentral lists this ribosomal RNA (301 nucleotides) under uncultured bacterium. RNAcentral describes it as "partial 16S ribosomal RNA". It matches the Rfam family "Bacterial small subunit ribosomal RNA", at positions 509 to 807 of the family's 1533-position model. The record is from RNAcentral.